Lytechinus pictus (painted urchin) is the source of this 4767-nucleotide long non-coding RNA. RefSeq lists it as uncharacterized. The record is from RefSeq and is a predicted model, not a curated record. The transcript is spliced from 3 exons. Lineage: Eukaryota; Metazoa; Echinodermata; Echinoidea; Temnopleuroida; Toxopneustidae.
GCAACCAUUUAAUUUGAAAAAGGAAUGCGCCCGUUUUUCGCCGUAAAUGUUGCAGCCUAAUUUUGGAUCGAGAAUUAAGUGCGACGAAGAUGGCCGUUAAUAAUAGUUCUACUACUUUAAGAACACGGUUCAGAUUUGGAUAACGACUUCGAAGGCAUUCGCAGGAGACCAAACAGAGAAAGAGAGGGAGACACAAAACCACCUGUCUCGGUGUCACACAUGAGGAGUUGAGGAGGAGAUGAAGUCAGUGAAUAUGACCUGGCCUGGGGGAGUUUCCAGAAGAAGGCCCAGAAUCGCUGGAUGCCAGGAGUGGAGAUCCUUCGUUGCUGCCCUACAUGAUAGGAGGCAUUGGGCAGUAGAUGCUGUAAUUUGAAACGGAAGGUGUCCUGCCAAUAAAUUUUCAUCCCACCUGAACUGCCUUGCCUGCCUGCACCCAGUCAUCUGUUCCUGAGCAUUUUCAUUUUCAUUUUCCUCUAUUUUUCAUCAUCGUUUGUUUCGGCCUGUAUGAAGUGAAUUUCACAUUGAUUGGUGGAGCUGCUAAGUUGGCAUUACAGGGCCACGCCGGGGUAUGAUCCUUUGGGUUGAACAUCAUGACUGCUAGUUGGUCGGCAAAGGUGAUGGGAUCGAUCAAUGUCACAUGGAGUAAGAUCGAUACCAAUCUGCUUUGCUACAUUUCGAACAAUCUCAUACGGAUACGGAUAUUAUUGCGACAGGAGUACUGCUCGAUGUGGUCAAGCCUAUUUGACAAAGCAUUAUGGUGUUAGUCAUGUUAUCAGAAACCGAUUUUUCAAAAUCACGGAGUUGCUUCAAUUUAGUAUCGAUAGAUAUUUCAAGAACGUGUAGACUAGUGAGCUUUUCAUCAAGAAUUUCACGCAAUUUAUUUUCGCGCUUAUCCAUGUCAUCAUUGAGUUUUUGUCUCUCGCGUUCCAUUGCCACGGCCACCGCUCUUUGAACGACUGUAUCAAUAUGAUCUAGGUAUGCUGGGCUUUGUUUAGAUCCAGUUAAUGAUGAAGCAGAGGAUUGUGUACAUGCGUUAGCCGAGUGCAAACGGCCUCUUGAUCUGGUGGAUAUCUUAGACAUGUUAGAGAUUACGUAAUGAUAUAAUUGAAAAGUGGGAUGGGCUGUGCAUCUGCCAACUCACCAGUCAACCAAUUAGAGACGGCCUUCCAAAGUGACACAGCACGAAAAUAUCAAUAUGGGACUGGUCUAGUCAACACAUAGAUCCUGACAAAACCAUGGAGACCGCAGACGCAAAAUGACUUCCAUACAUAAAGAUAUGAUGCACAAUUUCCAGUGGGUUCAAAACACUGAACACAUGCUAUGCUGAUACACAGACUAAUUAUUAAAGAAUUUUAUCAAGCAAAGGAAAUCUGGUAUGAAAUCUCUCAGCUCACAUAAAAAGCCUACGUAACUACAUGUAGGGAAGAGAAUGUGUAAUUGCUGAGAAAUGAGCAAAAUAAGCAUGUAAUUCUAUCAAAUGUCAGAUAUUUUUCGAAUCGAUUAUAAUACACUGUCCCACAUAUGCUUUUCUGUGUUUACAGCGAUCAUCAGAAUUAUCGAUUUUAAGUUUAAAAAUUCAUGAUUUUACAAAGAUACAAGUUUACAUUAAUGUACCAGAUGUAGAUUAUGUACAAUAUAUUGACAAUGAACUUUGAUUUUAUAGAUUUUCUCAAGAAAUAAUUGUUUGCUGCAACUACUGUCUUUUCCUUCUAAGUGAUAGUGUAAUACAACAGUUCCACAAACUAUUUUCAUCAGACUUAUUGAUGCAUGAUUCUUUCACCCAAAUGCAAGCUUCCAUAAAUCCUGAAAACUUUGCAACUCAGGUAUUUUUUUUUUUUACAUACAGUAUAUUUUGUCCUACAUUGCAUAGUUGCCUUAAGUUAAUAGCGCACCUCUAGUAGUAACUAUCUUAAAAUGAGUUCGAACAGAAUCCAACAGAAUUACCAGCAAAGUGUAUGUAUAUAUAAAAGAUGUGUGCCAAAAAGCUCGGGAAGAAAAUGUGUAAUUGCUGAGAAAUGAGCAAAAUAAGCAUGUAAUUCUAUCAAAUGUCGGAUAUUUUUCAAAUCAAUCAUAAUACACUGUCCUGUCCCACAUAUGCUUUUCUGUGUUAGUGAUCAUCAGAAUUAUUGAUUUUAAGAUCAAAAUUCAUGAUUUUACAAAGAUACAAGUUUACAUUAAUUUACCAGGGCCCCGUCUUACAAAGAGUUAUAAUUGAUCCGAUCAAUCGCAACUAUGGACGGUCAGCAACGUUAACAUCUAUUAAGCAUGUUUGUUCAAAAUAUUUUCUAGCUAUGAUGUAUGUUCAUGCAUUCAUUGUUUUCUCAAAAAUUCGCUGCGCUUCUCUUUGCAUACAAAGGACAUUGUGCAAAUUUUUCGUAGAAAAAAUUAUGACACUGAUGGAUUUCCAUAGAGUUAUGAUUGAUCGGAUCAAUCGUAACUCUUUGUAAGACAGGGCCCAGAUCAAGAUUAUGUACAAUAUUUUGACAAUUAACCUUAAUUUAAGAGACUUUCCGAAGAAAUAAUUGUUUGCUGCAACUACUGUCUUUUACCCCUGGCCCUAAGUGAUAGUGUAAUACAACCCAAACAUUUCAUAAGAAUUAAUGUACAUGUAUGAUUCUUUCACCCAAAUGCGAGCUUCCAUAAAUCCUGAAACUAUUCCAACUCGGGUAUUUUUUUUACAUACAGUAUAUUUUUACCUACAUUACAUAGUUGUCUAAAGUUGAAGGUAUAUUUAAUUACAAUUUCAACGAAAAAGCUUUAUUCUUGGAGAUCAUUAUGCCUCUGUUAUGUAUUAAUGUGUAUUUAUACAUGUACAAUUGUAUGUAUUGGUAUAACAAACAUUGUAAUUUCAUUCCUUUGACCCUAAUACUGCAUUUUCAUAGAAAAGUGUUUUUUUUUUUCAAUCUAUUUAGAGUUUUCAACAUUUUGUAUUCCUUUUUUUUUUGCUGGUAAUAUGUUAUGCAACUUUUAUUUAUUAAUAGAAUAUUUGCCACGAUUUCGUAAUUGAAAUGCGUACAUGUAUUUGAUUUCGUUUUCCAUUUUUGUAUAUAUUCUUUUUCGGGGGGGGGGGGGGGGUCAUGAUCUUGAGACCGAGACAAGUUAUGCAAGGCCCUGGCAUGGAGGAUCAUUAUAUUGUUACUGGGAAUGCUGGACAUUGUCAGACCACCUCAGUAUUCACCAAAUAUAGAUAAUCCUCAAUGACAAGGUCUUUGAAGUGAUGUGUGUAUGUACAUUGCAUGUAGAAUUUAAUGUUUAGGUCAUUAUCACGUCAGAAUACGUUAAGAUAUCAUAGUUGACUCCAAAAGACGUCAUAUUCAUUUCAAUAUGCGACGUCAAUAUGACGUCUAUUACUAGUCAGCAAUAUGUUGCAAAGUCGUCAUUCAGACGUCGUAGUUGACUUAUAAACACGUCAUAAUUACAUCAAUAUGACGUCUAAAACUGGUCAGGAAUACGUCGCAAAGUUGUCAUUAAGACGUCGUAGAUGACUUUUAAAGACGUCAUAAUUACAUCAAUAUGACGUCUAAAACCGGUCAGGAACACGUUACACGGAUGUCAUUAAGACGUCGUUGUUGACUCUCGAAGACGUCAUAAUCACGUCAAUACACGACGUCAUUCUGACCCUUGAUACUGGUCAGGAAAACGUUGUAAAAACGUUGCUAAGACGUCAUUAAGACGUCGUAGUCACUCUUGGAGACGUCAUAAUGACGUCAAUAUACGACGUCAUAAUGACGUUAUUCGCGGGUGCAAGAUCCCGUCAAUAAGACGUCAUGAUACGACGUCAAAAUGACGUGACACUCGUCGUUAAACUGACGUAAUUAUGACGUCAUUUUUACCAGUUUCUGCUAUCAGGGUAUAGAUGAAAUCGAUUAAUUUUCCAUAGAAUAUGAGUUGUAUAUAUGUAUAAUGGCAUCACUUAAUCUUCAUUGUAAUAUAUGGACAUGGGAAACUAGGUUUUGAAUAUUAUGACAAUGUUAAUAUGGACAAUAUUUUGGACGAUCGACGCUCGAAUGGAAAUAUUAAAAGGGUAAGUCAAACUUUGACACUCCUGCCCUUUUUUCCCAGUGCUAUUAUAUUACCCAAAAUCUACUCUAACAAUAACACUCUUUUAAUCCUUCCAUUCAACUUUAUGGUUGUUCAUUCGUUGCCAAGGAGACUACGCGUCCCUUCUAACAGAUACGUAACAUUACUACGUCACUGCGAUUAUUGUUAUUUAAAUAUCUCCUAUUCAAUGGCCAUCCGAUCUUUCCGCACUCGCUAUUGUUAUUUAAAUAUCCUCUAUUCAAUGGCCAUCCGAUCUUUCCGCACUCGCUAUUGUUAUUUAAAUAUCCUCUAUUCAAUGGCCAUCCGAUCUUUCCGCACUCGCUAUUGUUAUUUAAAUAUCCACUAUUCAAUGGCCAUCCGAUCUUUCCGCACUCGCUAUUGUUAUGCUAAUCAACCCCUAUUCAAUGGCCAUCCGAUCUUUCCGCACUCGCUAUUGUUAUGCUAAUGAUCCCUAUUCAAUGGCCAUCCUUCCAGACUACUCUUCCAUUGUUAUGCUAAUUGACCCCUAUUCAAUGGCCAUCUUUCCAGACUAUUCAUCCAUUGUUAUGCUAAUUAUCCCUAUUCAACCCUUCCAUUGUUAUGCUAAUUUCCCCUAUUCAACCCUUCAUUGUUAUGCUAAUGUAUUACGUCAUAUUCUUUUGUGCGCGCGUCACGCUUGAGUGAACCUUUAGAAUGGCCAUAUCGCCGUCAUUAUUCUCUUUCGUACCAGAAAAAAAUUUGACAAGC